Molecule: long non-coding RNA, 425 nt
Organism: Sardina pilchardus (European sardine)
Lineage: Eukaryota; Metazoa; Chordata; Actinopteri; Clupeiformes; Clupeidae
Exons: 3
Source: RefSeq, a predicted model, not a curated record
GAAGAACGACCGUUGGUGAUUUUUUUUUUUUUUUUUUUUAAAUGCAUUUGAAGUGUAAUGACAGGUGCUGACCAGGAGGUGUCAGCAGAGACCACAGAUCUCAAGGGUGGGUCAGGUUGGAAAAAGAAAGAGGGAAAAACAACAAGUGUGCCAAAAACUCUACGCCUUCCUCACCAGUCGAGAUGAGCCCACUUGGACUGAGUUCUGCUGCAUGGACCAGCUGGCCGCGUCGAACACCACCACCUUCCCGUCGCUCAGCGCACACCACAGCUUGGGGUUGCCACCGCCGUCCGUGCCCGACACACCCAGCUGCCCUGAAACCAGAGGAGUUGCAGUGGCCUGAAGCACAGGAAAGGCAGAUGGAGGUCCAGGUCAACGGCCGGUCGCUCCUCAUCCUCGCGAGAAGGGAGGAAGAUCUGGAGCGG